GAAAGUUGUUAACUGAAGGAAGGAAAGGGGCCCACCCGGAGGAGGAAGGGCAAAAAUCUAUUUAUACACAAAACAGCUUUGCAAGGGGGAGAGGCACCUGAUAUAAAAGUUUUGGGUCACUUGAAGCAUGACAGGAAGAUGGUAAAAUGGAGCCAGAAUCUGAGAAGGCUGGGAAGAGGGGGAAGUACCAGCUGCAGAGGUUUGAAGGGCGCCAUGUCCCUCACCUCUUCAGAGCUUCUUCUCCCUGUUGCUACCGCCAAGAGAAGAGAGUCUUGACAGAUAUUUAUGAAGUACCUACUAUGAGCCAGAUACCACGUGCUGACAAUACAAGGAUCACGGACACUGCAGGCCUCACAGUCUGGAAGAAGGAGGCACAUGAGCAGGCUUUGUGAUUAAAGGAUGCAUAUAAAGGAUGCAUAUUCACCAUCUACUGUGCAUGAAGAGCUACCCACCUCUACUCUGAGUACCAGACUCUUCUCCCUAGCAGGCAGAUUUCCUUUCUACCAACCGUUUUUUAAUGUUUGUUUGCCUGAAUAGUAUCGAGACUCCCUUCUGCUGUGGAGCCCUCACUGGCCUCUUCAUUUCAGGUCAUCAGGUGGAGAGCACGCUGCAGAGAGGACUGUUCCCAUGCCCAGGAGAGGCUUGCGAGUGAGCUCCGUGUAAUCACUCACUGGCAGAAUGCAGUGCAGGGGGCUGGGGUUACAGUCAGCGAGGAGCGAGGCACGAUGAUGCUUUGGAGUGGAAGUGAGCUUUCAAAUCUCAGCAGCCCUGAGUGAUUCCUCCACUUAGGGCCAGUGUGUGUGUGAUGGGUGUGGUUGAGAGCUGCCAGGGGCACAGCAGGCGUGGCAGUAGAGGGACAAGUUAGACCAUGAGGUUGCUGGGCACAGCACUGGACUUGGUUUUUCUGUUUUUAGAAAGAGCCCUCAAAAUAGAGCAUCAUUUUUCCCACAAACAUGAUUUCACCUAUUGUCUUGAUUGUCAUUGUUAUCCAGUGUACUAAGUACUAGGGAACAGGGCCAUUUGUGAUAAUAUUAUGAGGGAAGAGAAGACAAGGCUCAAAACCCCAACUAGGAUUCUUCGGUUAGAGAGAAAGAAGUGAUUGAAUGGGAGCAUUCAAUCAUUCCUUCGUUCGACACAUACUUACUGAGCACCUAUUAUGUGCCAACACCACGCUGGUUACUAAAGCUAUAAUGAUGAAGAUGACAGAUGAAGUUGCUCCCAUCACAGAGCCCACUCUUCCAUGAAGCUAGACUGCAUGCCUACUGGGUGCCAUGCCCUCCUAGAUAACAGCCUUUGGAAGC
RNAcentral lists this long non-coding RNA (1301 nucleotides) under Homo sapiens (human). RNAcentral describes it as "PREDICTED lncRNA (TCONS_00185641)". Lineage: Eukaryota; Metazoa; Chordata; Mammalia; Primates; Hominidae. The record is from RNAcentral.